This 1086-nucleotide long non-coding RNA is filed under the name Anser brachyrhynchus (Pink-footed goose). RNAcentral describes it as "lncRNA (ENSABRG00000012849.1)". The record is from RNAcentral. Lineage: Eukaryota; Metazoa; Chordata; Aves; Anseriformes; Anatidae.
AGCCAAUCUGCAUAAUCAUGGUCUGAAACAAUGGUAUUUUUUCUGCUUUUCCUGCUGAAUGUCUGCCUAAAGUGAUUCUAGUCCUAUCAUAAACUGCUUGCAGGAAUAUAGAGCAGAAUGCACAACAGAGAGGUUUCACAUGAAACAUAACAUAGUGAAUGAUUUAAUAAUGCUGCAAACUGAUUGUAUGCAUAAACAUGUGUACUACUAUUACCGUGGAUGAGUCGUGCCUCGUAUUCGUGUUUCCCAGCACAUUGUUUUACAUGUAGACUCCUCUUCUUGAAAUCUCAUGCACACUGCAUUUCCUACAGACAGCCCAAGGAAGACUCCUGCUUUCCCAGAGGCCGUACUACAGGGUUUGGCAUCUCCUGGAAGGCCGGGAAACCUUUUGGAGGCUUUACUUUUGAUGGAGCAUUGGAAUACAAUGCUUGGAAAAGAAAGCAAACCAUCUUCUGUCAUGAGAUCAAGGAGGGGACUGCUGGUCACCAUCUUUUGCCCCUACCGACAAUGCAUUAUGCUCAGCUCCUCCGUUUUCCGUUGCUGCUAUAGGACUCAGAUGGAUGGCUGCACAACCAGGGCCCAAACUAAAAGCGAUGGGACUGAUAUUCUUUUUACAUUAACAUAACUCAUCUGACUUCAGCCCCAAUGAACUUGACUGAUACUUAAUGUCAGUGACAAAUGAGCAAAAUCUGCUGCAUGCAGUGGAUAUUUUACUGAUUUCUAUUAUGUCCUCUUUUUUUUUUUUUCCCCUCAUGUUAAUGUAAGUAGAAUUUAUAAAUUCUUACUGUCCAAAAAGAAGGCACGUAGCCAGGGAAGAUGCUGCAGGGUUUUUUCUACGCAAAGAAGUGGUGAUAUUCACCCAUGCUAGAUUCAUAAUGAAUGUCAGUUUUGAUCUGUUGGUGUGCAUUUGGGGGUGGCCACUACUUAAACAUUCAUACUUAAAGCAUUAAAACAUUUUGUAAACUACUGUAGCUGAGGGCAUUAGGUACACCUACCAAGAUAGCAUAAAAAUUGGUGAAUGGGUGUGGAGACGGAAAAGGACAGAAAAUUAUUUAAAAAUAAAAUUUUAAAAAGCAAACCUGGGCA